Molecule: transfer RNA, 68 nt
Filed under: Loxodonta africana (African savanna elephant)
Lineage: Eukaryota; Metazoa; Chordata; Mammalia; Proboscidea; Elephantidae
Rfam family: tRNA
About the family: Transfer RNA (tRNA) molecules are approximately 80 nucleotides in length. Their secondary structure includes four short double-helical elements and three loops (D, anti-codon, and T loops).
Source: Rfam by way of RNAcentral
GCCCUGGUGGCUCAGUGGUUAAGAGUUUGGCUGCCAACCAAGAGGCGGUAGUUCAAAUCCACCAGGCG